This 275-nucleotide ribosomal RNA is filed under the name uncultured bacterium. Its description in RNAcentral is "partial 16S ribosomal RNA". It matches the Rfam family "Bacterial small subunit ribosomal RNA", at positions 524 to 796 of the family's 1533-position model. The record is from RNAcentral.
UACGGAGGGGGCUAGCGUUGUUCGGAUUUACUGGGCGUAAAGCGCACGUAGGCGGCGUAUCAAGUCAGAGGUGAAAGGCCUGGGCUCAACCUAGGAACGGCCUUUGAUACUGGUAUGCUUGAGUUCGGAAGAGGGUAGUGGGAAUUACCUCAAGUGUAGAGGUGAAAUUCGUAGAUAUUUGGAAGAACACCGGUGGCGAAGGCGGCUACCUGGUCCGAUACUGACGCUGAGUGCGAAAGCGUGGGGAGCGAACAGGAUUAGAUACCGCGUAGUCC